GUCGAACGAGAAAGUGGAGCAAUCCAUGAGUAAAGUGGCGCACGGGUGAGUAACACGUGACUAACCUACCCUGGAGUGGGGGAUAACUGAGGGAAACCUUAGCUAAUACCGCAUAACACCUACGGGUCAAAGGAGCAAUUCGCUUUAGGAGGGGGUCGCGGCAGAUUAGCUAGUUGGCGGGGUAAUGGCCCACCAAGGCAGUGAUCUGUAUCCGGCCUGAGAGGGCGCACGGACACACUGGAACUGAAACACGGUCCAGACUCCUACGGGAGGCAGCAGUGGGGAAUUUUGCGCAAUGGGGGAAACCCUGACGCAGCAACGCCGCGUGGAGGAUGAAGUCUCUUGGGACGUAAACUCCUUUCGAUUGGGAAGAUUAUGACGGUACCAAUAGAAGAAGCCCCGGCUAACUUCGUGCCAGCAGCCGCGGUAAUACGAGGGGGGCAAGCGUUGUUCGGAAUUAUUGGGCGUAAAGGGUGCGUAGGCGGUUUGGUAAGUCUUGUGUGAAAUCUUCGGGCUCAACUCGAAGUCUGCACGAGAAACUGCCGGGCUUGAGUGUGGGAGAGGUGAGUGGAAUUUCCGGUGUAGCGGUGAAAUGCGUAGAUAUCGGAAGGAACACCUGUGGCGAAAGCGGCUCACUGGACCAUGACUGACGCUGAUGCACGAAAGCUAGGGGAGCAAACAGGAUUAGAUACCCUGGUAGUCCUAGCCCUAAACGAUGAUCGCUUGGUGUGACGGGUACCCAAUCCCGCCGUGCCGCAGCUAACGCGUUAAGCGAUCCGCCUG
Molecule: ribosomal RNA, 783 nt
Filed under: uncultured Acidobacteriota bacterium
Lineage: Bacteria; Pseudomonadati; Acidobacteriota
Description: bacterial SSU rRNA
Rfam family: Bacterial small subunit ribosomal RNA
Source: RNAcentral